RNAcentral lists this ribosomal RNA (159 nucleotides) under Symphyotrichum anticostense. RNAcentral's name for it is "5.8S ribosomal RNA". It matches the Rfam family "5.8S ribosomal RNA". Rfam says of the family: 5.8S ribosomal RNA (5.8S rRNA) is a component of the large subunit of the eukaryotic ribosome. It is transcribed by RNA polymerase I as part of the 45S precursor that also contains 18S and 28S rRNA. Lineage: Eukaryota; Viridiplantae; Streptophyta; Magnoliopsida; Asterales; Asteraceae. The record is from RNAcentral.
CGACUCUCGGCAAUGGAUAUCUCGGCUCACGCAUCGAUGAAGAACGUAGCAAAAUGCGAUACUUGGUGUGAAUUGCAGAAUCCCGUGAACCAUCGAGUUUUUGAACGCAAGUUGCGCCCGAAGCCAUUCGGUUGAGGGCACGUCUGCCUGGGCGUCACG